UUUCGUGUGAACAGCAGUUGAACACGAGUCAGUCGGUCCUAAGGAAUAGGGGAAACCCGUUCUGAAUCGGAGACUGUAUAAAAGUGAGUAGAAAAACUCCGAAUUGACCGAAAGGGAAUCGGGUUAAUAUUCCCGAACCCGGACGUGGAGAUCGACCCUUCGGGGUCCAAUGCGGCAACGCAAACAAACUCGGAGACGUCGGCGGGAGUCCCGGGAAGAGUUGUCUUUUCUUUGUAAGGAACGGACUCCCUGGAAUCGGCUCGCCCGGAGAGAGGGACGUUGUUUCCGUAAAGCACCGCGGCUCUUGCGGUGUCCGGAGCACUCCCGCCGGCCCUUGAAAAUCCGAGGGAGAGAAUUCGUUGAUUUUCGCGCCGGACCGUACCCAUAUCCGCAGCAGGUCUCCAAGGUGAACAGCCUCUAGUCGAUAGAACA
Molecule: ribosomal RNA, 432 nt
Filed under: Cermatobius japonicus
Lineage: Eukaryota; Metazoa; Arthropoda; Chilopoda; Lithobiomorpha; Henicopidae
Description: eukaryotic LSU rRNA
Rfam family: Eukaryotic large subunit ribosomal RNA
Source: RNAcentral